This is a long non-coding RNA of Aricia agestis (brown argus), 239 nucleotides long. RefSeq lists it as uncharacterized. The record is from RefSeq and is a predicted model, not a curated record. NCBI's taxonomy places the organism in Eukaryota, Metazoa, Arthropoda, Insecta, Lepidoptera, Lycaenidae. The transcript is spliced from 4 exons.
UAAUAUAGCAUAUUCUACUUUCUCUUUCACUCAUUUUACGCUUUCAAUGCAUAUUUUACGUAAUCAAUGCAUUAAACACGUCCGACUGUCACCGCGUCCUAUGGCACACUUCUCUCAGAUGAGUGAGCACACUCAUUUCGAGGGUGACACAUUUUCGCGCUGACGAUUGUAUGGAAUGCCUUUUCUAAAGGUUAUAAUUCUAUGGUAUAAUUUAUAAACAAAUGUAUGAAGAUAAGCGG